Molecule: small nucleolar RNA, 181 nt
Organism: Caenorhabditis elegans
Lineage: Eukaryota; Metazoa; Nematoda; Chromadorea; Rhabditida; Rhabditidae
Source: Ensembl
CUUUUGAUGUGGAACAAUUUUUCCCCGCUUACUAGGAUUACUGUAAUCUAGGCAAUACGGUGGCCUGAAAAUUUGACCAAAUUUUUAAAUUAUCGGCAGCUUGCAAAGUUAUCGAUUUCCGACGAUUUCUCAAUUUUCCAAAAUUGAGUAGUUGCCAAUUUUCGACAACUUACAUAACAUU